RNAcentral lists this long non-coding RNA (662 nucleotides) under Ananas comosus (pineapple). RNAcentral describes it as "long non-coding RNA (ACOM_LNC012585)". Lineage: Eukaryota; Viridiplantae; Streptophyta; Magnoliopsida; Poales; Bromeliaceae. The record is from RNAcentral.
ACAAAUUUAAAAUUAGUUAUGAUAUUAUAUUAUUCAAAAGAUCAAUCUAAUAAAAAAUAGAUUUAAAAAUAGAUUUAAUUAAAACACACUACUCACAUAUAGAGCUAGGCUCCUAUACUUUCGAAAGCACGAAGGCCUCCGUGUUGGUAAGUUAUUUUCGACGAUGGGACAUCUGAUUCGAAAAUUGGCUUUGUUAGGCAUGAUAUACACUAUUAGAAAUAUUUAAAAACUAAAUUUUAAAAUUUUUUGAUUUCGUUUGCUUAGUGGACGAGUAGUCUCAAAAUGAAUGACUAAAAAUAAAAAAAAUUAUAAAAAUAAUGAUAAAAUAUUCAAAUUUUAAAUCGGAAGUACUAUUUUUGCUUUUGAUGUUAAGUAAAUUUUUUUUUUUAAGUUUUAUGUAAUUUGAAUUUUUCUACACUGUUGAAUUUACAAAUGUAUCACAUCGGAUAUUAAAAUAGUCACUGUUGAGACCCUUUGAUCACUUGCUAAAUGAUAUCGAAAAAUUAUAAAAUUUAGUUUAUAAAAAACUCUAAUAGCAUAGAUUAUAUUUAACGAAGCCGAUCGUCGAAUCGAAUGUCCCUAUAUCGAAAAUAACUUAUAAAUACGGAGGUCUCUGUGCUUUUGAAACCAUAGGCAACGUGCGCUUCACAUAUACAUAUAAU